Molecule: unclassified non-coding RNA, 353 nt
Filed under: soil metagenome
Description: partial contains 5.8S ribosomal RNA, internal transcribed spacer 2, and large subunit ribosomal RNA
Rfam family: 5.8S ribosomal RNA (bases 1-119)
Source: RNAcentral
GAUGAAGAACGCAGUGAAAUGCGAUAAGUAAUGCGAAUUGCAGAAUCCGUGAGUCAUCGAAUCUUUGAACGCACAUUGCGCCCUUUGGUAUUCCGAAGGGCAUGCCUGUUCGAGCGUCAUUAUCACCACUCAAGCCCGGCUUGCUGUUGGUGGCAGCGCAGCCGGUCAACCGGCUACGCUCCACCCAAAGAUAAUGACGGCGUCUGCGAGGACUCCUGUACAUUGAGCUUUCGGGCACGUACAUGGCUAGAAGUCCAGGCGCCGGUCGACGUCCUCCGGGACACUUUUUACCAAGGUUGACCUCGGAUCAGGUAGGGAUACCCGCUGAACUUAAGCAUAUCAAUGAGCGAGGA